GGGGAAUAUUGGACAAUGGGGGCAACCCUGAUCCAGCAAUGCCGCGUGGGUGAUGAAGGCCUUCGGGUUGUAAAGCCCUUUCGGCGGGGAAGAUGAUGACGGUACCCGCAGAAGAAGCCCCGGCUAACUUCGUGCCAGCAGCCGCGGUAAUACGAAGGGGGCUAGCGUUGCUCGGAAUCACUGGGCGUAAAGGGUGCGUAGGCGGGUCUUUAAGUCAGGGGUGAAAUCCUGGAGCUCAACUCCAGAACUGCCUUUGAUACUGAAGAUCUUGAGUUCGGGAGAGGUGAGUGGAACUGCGAGUGUAGAGGUGAAAUUCGUAGAUAUUCGCAAGAACACCAGUGGCGAAGGCGGCUCACUGGCCCGAUACUGACGCUGAGGCACGAAAGCGUGGGGAGCAAAC
RNAcentral lists this ribosomal RNA (400 nucleotides) under uncultured bacterium. RNAcentral's name for it is "bacterial SSU rRNA". It matches the Rfam family "Bacterial small subunit ribosomal RNA", at positions 356 to 773 of the family's 1533-position model. The record is from RNAcentral.